GUUGUGAGGUUAAGCGACCAAGCGUACACGGUGGAUGCCCUGGCAGUCAGAGGCGAUGAAGGACGUGCUAAUCUGCGAUAAGCGCCGGUAAGGUGAUAUGAACCGUUAUAACCGGCGAUUUCCGAAUGGGGAAACCCAGUGUGAUUCGUCACACUAUCAUUAACUGAAUCCAUAGGUUAAUGAAGCGAACCGGGGGAACUGAAACAUCUAAGUACCCCGAGGAAAAGAAAUCAACCGAGAUUCCCCCAGUAGCGGCGAGCGAACGGGGAGGAGCCCAGAGCCUGAAUCAGCAUGUGUGUUAGUGGAAGCGUCUGGAAAGGCGCGCGAUACAGGGUGACAGCCCCGUACACAAAAGCGCAUGUGCUGUGAGCUCGAUGAGUAGGGCGGGACACGUGGUAUCCUGUCUGAAUAUGGGGGGACCAUCCUCCAAGGCUAAAUACUCCUGACUGACCGAUAGUGAACCAGUACCGUGAGGGAAAGGCGAAAAGAACCCCGGCGAGGGGAGUGAAACAGAACCUGAAACCGUGUACGUACAAGCAGUGGGAGCACAGGUUUACCUGUGUGACUGCGUACCUUUUGUAUAAUGGGUCAGCGACUUAUAUUCUGUAGCAAGGUUAACCGUAUAGGGGAGCCGAAGGGAAACCGAGUCUUAAUUGGGCGUUAAGUUGCAGGGUAUAGACCCGAAACCCGGUGAUCUAGCCAUGGGCAGGUUGAAGGUUGGGUAACACUAACUGGAGGACCGAACCGACUAAUGUUGAAAAAUUAGCGGAUGACCUGUGGCUGGGGGUGAAAGGCCAAUCAAACCGGGAGAUAGCUGGUUCUCCCCGAAAGCUAUUUAGGUAGCGCCUCGUGAACUCAUCUCCGGGGGUAGAGCACUGUUUCGGCUAGGGGGCCAUCCCGGCUUACCAACCCGAUGCAAACUGCGAAUACCGGAGAAUGUUAUCACGGGAGACACACGGCGGGUGCUAACGUCCGUCGUGAAGAGGGAAACAACCCAGACCGCCAGCUAAGGUCCCAAAGUCAUGGUUAAGUGGGAAACGAUGUGGGAAGGCCCAGACAGCCAGGAUGUUGGCUUAGAAGCAGCCAUCAUUUAAAGAAAGCGUAAUAGCUCACUGGUCGAGUCGGCCUGCGCGGAAGAUGUAACGGGGCUAAACCAUGCACCGAAGCUGCGGCAGCGACGCUUAUGCGUUGUUGGGUAGGGGAGCGUUCUGUAAGCCUGCGAAGGUGGCCUGUGAGGGUUGCUGGAGGUAUCAGAAGUGCGAAUGCUGACAUAAGUAACGAUAAAGCGGGUGAAAAGCCCGCUCGCCGGAAGACCAAGGGUUCCUGUCCAACGUUAAUCGGGGCAGGGUGAGUCGACCCCUAAGGCGAGGCCGAAAGGCGUAGUCGAUGGGAAACGGGUUAAUAUUCCCGUACUUGGUGUUACUGCGAAGGGGGGACGGAGAAGGCUAUGUUGGCCGGGC
RNAcentral lists this ribosomal RNA (1460 nucleotides) under Salmonella enterica subsp. salamae. RNAcentral's name for it is "partial 23S ribosomal RNA". It matches the Rfam family "Bacterial large subunit ribosomal RNA", at positions 1 to 1496 of the family's 2925-position model. The record is from RNAcentral. Lineage: Bacteria; Pseudomonadati; Pseudomonadota; Gammaproteobacteria; Enterobacterales; Enterobacteriaceae.